This 483-nucleotide long non-coding RNA is filed under the name Homo sapiens (human). RNAcentral describes it as "LHRI_LNC387.1". Lineage: Eukaryota; Metazoa; Chordata; Mammalia; Primates; Hominidae. The record is from RNAcentral.
CCCCUAAUUUUAUUUAUUUUCUUUUCUUUGCUGGAUCUGCUGUCUUCUUUUCCUCCCAGUUGUGGCACCUCUAGCUUGGGGCCCUGUUCUUCCAUAUGGGCAUCUUUUCUUUUUUUUGAGGCAGAGUUUCACUCUUGUUGCCCAGGCUGGAGUGCAAUGGCACGAUCUUGGCUCACCGCAACCUCCGCCUCCCAGGUUUGAGUGAUUCUCCUGCCUCAGCCUCCCAAGUAGCUGUGAUUACAGGCAUGCACCACCAUGCCCGGCUAAUUUUGUAUUUCUAGUAGAGACGGGGUUUCUCCUUGUUGGUCAGGCUGGUCUCGAACUCCCGACCUCAGGUGUUCCGCCUGGCUUGGCCUCCCAAAGUGCUGAGAUUACAGGCGUGAGCCACCGUGCCCGGCUAUGGGCAUCUUUUCCCACAGGAAUUGACUUAAAGGACCCAUCCAUUCUGAACUCUUAGUCCUCAUAUUUUUAUUCUAAUGAUUU